UACAGAGGUCUCAAGCGUUGUUCGGAUUCAUUGGGCGUAAAGGGUGCGUAGGCGGCGCGGUAAGUCGGAUGUGAAAUCUCGGAGCUUAACUUCGAAACUGCAUUCGAUACUGCCGUGCUUGAGGACUGGAGAGGAGACUGGAGUUUACGGUGUAGCGGUGAAAUGCGUAGAUAUCGUAAGGAAGACCAGUGGCGAAGGCGGGUCUCUGGACAGUUCCUGACGCUGAGGCACGAAGGUCAGGGGAGCAAACGGG
Molecule: ribosomal RNA, 253 nt
Filed under: uncultured bacterium
Lineage: Bacteria
Description: partial 16S ribosomal RNA
Rfam family: Bacterial small subunit ribosomal RNA
Source: RNAcentral